RNAcentral lists this long non-coding RNA (3358 nucleotides) under Cairina moschata (Muscovy duck). Its description in RNAcentral is "domestica (muscovy Duck (domestic type)) lncRNA (ENSCMMG00000012200.1)". Lineage: Eukaryota; Metazoa; Chordata; Aves; Anseriformes; Anatidae. The record is from RNAcentral.
GCAUCUCAAAACUCUUUGGGAAAGGAUAUUUGUUGGAUGUUUACAUUAUGGUCUGUUUUAUUCCAUCUCUGUCCACUCUAUAUGCCAUGGUGACACAGGUCAGUGAAAACACUGCAAGGAAAGAGCCAUCUGAGAAACGUGGAGCGGACAGAAAGCUGGCGACAACUGUCAAACUGUCAGAAAAAGGUGAUUUCCACUUUCUCUGUGAAGUAUCCAUUUUUGUAUUCCUUGAUCAUGCAUACCUUGUCAGUAGUUUGGUUUCUGACUGCACUGUGCCACAAUGUAUGCACUUAGAAUACGAUUACAAAAGACCGUGGUCCCAUUGCAUGACAGAGGUCAGAAUUUACUGACGUUGGCUGUACUUGCUACGGAGAACAAAGUACUAAGGGUGCCCAUGGAGAAACCAAGACAGAGACCAAAACUUCCGUAUCAGGGGAAUCCUACAACACACUGGAUGGAGGCAUUAGCACAACCUUGUAGUCUCUUCUGCUUCUCCUUGUAUGCUAUGAGAGUUUCUUUAUAGGACAUUCAGGUACUGCACACAUUUUUUUUUUUUUCUUAAUAUAAAUAAUCUGUCUUUACUAAGAAUGAAAAUUUGAUAACAUUACAGAUCCGGAUGAACCAAUAUUUCUAACAGCUUGAAAGAGAGUAUUGCCCAGUUUAUUCGUUUGGAUUUUCAAAUUCUGGUGACAUGUACUGCAGUUUAUGGAUUUUAUGAUGUCCAGGAUAGCAUUGGCUCCAUCCAGGAGGUAAGUGACAAUGUCUAAUUAAUGAUAAACGUUUCAAACACAUACUCGCUGUAGUUAGUAUAGACUUCAAGUUGAACUCAGCAAUUUAUCUUUCUUCCUGGCUCAUUAAACACUGUUUUGAGCUCCACUAUCAUACAGCUAAUGAUCAUGUCUUUAGUAGUCUUUGCAAAUCAGUCACUGCAGCUCAGUUUUUCAGACUCUAUUUCAUUGAAAUGCUGAGGUUUUCUUCCAGGGGUUGAUGAGCUUUCUCAGUAAAAGUUUCUCUCCUCUUGCUGGUCUGCAUGUGCAGGGUCCAAGAUUUAGUCUCAACUAUGUUGUCUGCUUUUAUUUAUAAUUUUUAUGGCUGGAUUAUCGGUAUUGACUGCUUCUCCUCAAAGGAGGAUUUCCCAUCAUAGAGGAGUCCCUGGUGGCACUGUAUAUAGACAUUACUAAUGCAUCCAUCAGCAAAUUAUCUAGGCACCAAUUACAAAAUGGAGUCUCAGGUAGUGUGAGUAAUUGAUUUUUUUUCAGUGUAAUAGCUGAAUUAAGAAGUUGGAGAAGAGUCUUGUUAUAUACGGAGUGGUAAUUCGUGUCGAAAAAAUGGUUGAUAUUAAUGAAGAAGGGGGAGAUUGGGAGUGUGGCCAUGGGGGUCGGAAAGCCCCGUGGUUGAUGAUAAGAUUAGACUCUUAACGAUGAGGCCUUCAGGAAUGUAAAAGAGUUUAGAGGGAACAAAGAAGGGUGAUUCAGGAGACUCCGUACAGUCUCGGGUUGCUUGUUCUCCAGCCAUUAAGGCAUGGAAGUUUCUGGGUGUUUGCCGUUGCUGUUAUUUGCAAAGUUGUUUGACCAAUGAAAAGUUUUUUUGAAAAGAACUGCUGUGGGGAGAAGGAUGUAAGAGGGGAGCCUGUCCUCAAGAUUUAAAAAAAAAUAAAAAUAAAAAUAAGGCAACAUGAUAUAAUGAAGUUAUGUCAUCAAUAAAGAAACAAAAAGAAGGAAUGAAAAGGAACAGGCUAGCAGAACAGAGACCAGGACGGGAACAUGCACAUUGAUUGCCUCAUGAAGAUAGGUUCGGCCAGACUCAGCAAACUGCUCAAAGAAGCUCGUAGAGGAAGUCACUGGAAAUAGGUGCACCAGAGCUGGGAAGAAGCUCAAGCUGAGAGAAGCGGACCUGAAUCACACAGAAUCACACAGAAUCACAGAAUUUCUAGGUUGGAAGAGACCACAAGAUCAUCGAGUCCAACCUCUAACCUAACACAAACAGUCCCCACUAAACCAUAUACCUGCGCACACAACUGCCGCUCGCUGGUAAGCAGUUGCGCAUUAUGGGGAAUCAUACGUCCUUAGAAACAAAGACUGUCCUGGUAGCCUUACAGUUUAUUCUCCUUAUUAACAAUUGGACAGUUUAUGAUCCUGAAAUACAGAACCAAAUUGAGGUCAAGGUGUGGGACUCUGCAACUAAAAACGACAAGGUUGCGGCGGGACUGCUCAGCACCUGGCGAGCAAUAUCUGAGGCCUUAAAGAGCCAUGUGGGGCCACAAUCAGAAACGUGGUUUGCCAGACAGCGAGGGAACUGCGGGCUCCUUUACUGAUCCGACUGCUACGCCGUGGGCCCCUCUGCUACUGCCAUUGAAGGCUUUUGCUGUUACGUCCCCUGCUGACUUGGAUGUGCCUUUUGGCCCAGGCCUUAUUGGCCUUGAAAUGGAGAUGGGUAUGUUUUUCUUCGAUCUGGGAAGAACGGGAUACAUAAAGCCCGAAGGCUGAGUUGCUUGACAACUUAAAGCAAGACAUAUUGUUCAAAAGGAAUGGAAAAUGGAGAUUUGUUUGUAAUCGAGAAAAGGAAUGGAAAAUGGAGACUGUUAAGUCAUGGAACUUAAAGGAUUGCUUGUUACCUUUUUUGGUUGUACAUAUGUAUAGGCAUACUCGAGUUUAGUAAGUCAUGGAGACUUGUUUGUAAUCAAGAAAAGGAAUGGAAAGGAUUUUGUUACCUUUUCUGAUUGUACAUAUGUAUAGGCAUACUCGGGUUUAGUAUGUAAAAGCAAUGUUCUAUAUAUAUUUAGAAAGUUUAAUGUUCGUGUGUGUUGGUGUAGCGUAGACUCCCCGCACACCCAGCGCUGUUUACUUGCCUUUUAUUCCUUUUAUAAAUAUUCCUUUUAUAAAUAUUACUAAAUUCAGAUUGAGUUGAGACUUCAUUUAUAAGUCUUAAUAUAAGGUCAUUAGAAGUAACAGUGUGUUUUGUUCUCAGACAGAAUGCAAAAAGAACACUCACCUAUGUGUGGCACUGUAGUUCAAACUCAAAGCCUGCUUGAGUAGUAGGAAUGCUUCUUCCAUCUGCCAGGAGAGAACUCUAUUUACAGCAUUUUCAAGCUAUCAUAGCAGAGGUCAACCUUACCAAUUGCAAUUUUCUGUAUGGUUGUGACUCUCAUGUGAAAAAUAAAAAUCUCUCUGGAACUAUUUUGGAAAUUAAAUCUACAUUUUUAAUAGCUUUAGUAUGGCUCCUGCUGUGUCUUUCAGCAAACAUUUGCCGAGACUCUGUAUGAGAUUUGCCUUACUUUGCAUUUAAAAAACACUGCUCUUCACUUCUUGGGAGGUCAAGUGUCUGUAUUGGAUGAUCUAUACCUUUGAAAGUUCUUUCA